Molecule: ribosomal RNA, 467 nt
Filed under: uncultured bacterium
Lineage: Bacteria
Description: partial 16S ribosomal RNA
Rfam family: Bacterial small subunit ribosomal RNA
Source: RNAcentral
GAUGAACGUUGGCGGCGUGCUUAACACAUGCAAGUCGAACGGAAAGGCCCAAGCUUGCUUGGGUACUCGAGUGGCGAACGGGUGAGUAACACGUGGGUGAUCUGCCCUGCACUUCGGGAUAAGCCUGGGAAACUGGGUCUAAUACCGGAUAGGACCACAUUUUGGAUGGUGUGGUGGAAAGUUUUUCGGUGUGGGAUGAGCUCGCGGCCUAUCAGCUUGUUGGUGGGGUAAUGGCCUACCAAGGCGUCGACGGGUAGCCGGCCUGAGAGGGUGUACGGCCACAUUGGGACUGAGAUACGGCCCAGACUCCUACGGGGGGCAGCAGUGGGGAAUAUUGCACAAUGGGCGCAAGCCUGAUGCAGCGACGCCGCGUGGGGGAUGACGGCCUUCGGGUUGUAAACUCCUUUCGCUAGGGACGAAGCGUUUUUGUGACGGUACCUGGAGAAGAAGCACCGGCUAACUACGUG